RNAcentral lists this ribosomal RNA (398 nucleotides) under uncultured bacterium. RNAcentral describes it as "partial 16S ribosomal RNA". It matches the Rfam family "Bacterial small subunit ribosomal RNA", at positions 360 to 773 of the family's 1533-position model. The record is from RNAcentral.
AAUAUUGCGCAAUGGGGGGAACCCUGACGCAGCAACGCCGCGUGAGUGAAGAAGGUUUUCGGAUCUUCAAGCUCUGUCAUCGGGGACGAAGCAGUGACGGUACCCUAGGAGGAACCCCCGGCUAACUACGUGCCAUCAGCCGCGGUAAUACGUAGGGGGCGAGCGUUGUCCGGAAUUACUGGGCGUAAAGGGUGCGUAGGCGGCCUUAUAAGUCAGAUGUGAAAUACCACGGCUUAACCGUGGGGGUGCAUAUGAAACUGUAGGGCUUGAGUGCAGGAGAGGAAAGUGGAAUUCCUAGUGUAGCGGUGAAAUGCGUAGAGAUUAGGAGGAACACCAGUGGCGAAGGCGACUUUCUGGACUGUAACUGACGCUGAGGCACGAAAGCGUGGGUAGCGAAC